CGAUAACGAACGAGACCUCGACCUGCUAACUAGUUCGCUCUACUCUUCGGGGUAGUGUCGGACUUCUUAGAGGGACUAUCGGUUUCUAGCCGAUGGAAGUUCGAGGCAAUAACAGGUCUGUGAUGCCCUUAGAUGUCCUGGGCCGCACGCGCGCUACACUGAUGCGUUCAUCGAGCUGUGAACCUUGACCGACAGGUCCGGGGAAUCUUCUCAACGCGCAUCGUGCUGGGGAUAGAUUAUUGGAAUUAUUAAUCUUCAACGAGGAAUUCCUAGUAAACGCGAGUCAUCAACUCGCAUUGAUUACGUCCCUGCCCUUUGUACACACCGCCCGUCGCUACUACCGAUUGAAUGGCU
This 354-nucleotide ribosomal RNA is filed under the name uncultured fungus. Its description in RNAcentral is "bacterial SSU rRNA". It matches the Rfam family "Eukaryotic small subunit ribosomal RNA", at positions 1326 to 1698 of the family's 1831-position model. The record is from RNAcentral. Lineage: Eukaryota; Fungi.